UAGAGUUUUGAUCCUGGCUCAGAUUGAACGCUGGCGGCAGGCCUAACACAUGCAAGUCGAACGGUAGCACAGAGAGCUUGCUCUCGGGUGACGAGUGGCGGACGGGUGAGUAAUGUCUGGGAAACUGCCUGAUGGAGGGGGAUAACUACUGGAAACGGUAGCUAAUACCGCAUAACGUCGCAAGACCAAAGAGGGGGACCUUCGGGCCUCUUGCCAUCAGAUGUGCCCAGAUGGGAUUAGCUAGUAGGUGGGGUAACGGCUCACCUAGGCGACGAUCCCUAGCUGGUCUGAGAGGAUGACCAGCCACACUGGAACUGAGACACGGUCCAGACUCCUACGGGAGGCAGCAGUGGGGAAUAUUGCACAAUGGGCGCAAGCCUGAUGCAGCCAUGCCGCGUGUAUGAAGAAGGCCUUCGGGUUGUAAAGUACUUUCAGCGGGGAGGAAGGCGAUAAGGUUAAUAACCUUGUCGAUUGACGUUACCCGCAGAAGAAGCACCGGCUAACUCCGUGCCAGCAGCCGCGGUAAUACGGAGGGUGCAAGCGUUAAUCGGAAUUACUGGGCGUAAAGCGCACGCAGGCGGUCUGUCAAGUCGGAUGUGAAAUCCCCGGGCUCAACCUGGGAACUGCAUUCGAAACUGGCAGGCUAGAGUCUUGUAGAGGGGGGUAGAAUUCCAGGUGUAGCGGUGAAAUGCGUAGAGAUCGGAGGAAUACCGGUGGCGAAGGCGGCCCCCGGACAAAGACGACGCCAGGUGCGAAAGCUGAGCACCC
This 768-nucleotide ribosomal RNA is filed under the name Enterobacter cancerogenus. RNAcentral describes it as "bacterial SSU rRNA". It matches the Rfam family "Bacterial small subunit ribosomal RNA", at positions 1 to 769 of the family's 1533-position model. The record is from RNAcentral. Lineage: Bacteria; Pseudomonadati; Pseudomonadota; Gammaproteobacteria; Enterobacterales; Enterobacteriaceae.